Molecule: transfer RNA, 73 nt
Filed under: Camelus bactrianus (Bactrian camel)
Lineage: Eukaryota; Metazoa; Chordata; Mammalia; Artiodactyla; Camelidae
Also listed under: 2 other names
Rfam family: tRNA
About the family: Transfer RNA (tRNA) molecules are approximately 80 nucleotides in length.
Source: Rfam by way of RNAcentral
GUGGAUAUAGCUGAAGUGGUAGAGUGCAUGCUUAGCAUGCACAAGGUCCUGGGUUCAAUCCCCAGUACCUCCU